UACUACACACUAUCGUGUGGGUGAGACCCUGCGUUCAGGUUCGAGCCGAGCGGAGCGAGACAGCAACGCGCCAGCGUUGACCCGAAG
Molecule: small RNA, 87 nt
Filed under: Yersinia enterocolitica
Lineage: Bacteria; Pseudomonadati; Pseudomonadota; Gammaproteobacteria; Enterobacterales; Yersiniaceae
Description: partial RtT sRNA
Rfam family: RtT RNA
About the family: This family represents a bacterial cis-regulatory element known as RtT RNA.
Source: RNAcentral